AACGAACGUUAGCGGCGCGCUUAACACAUGCAAGUCGAACGCGAAAGUCCUUCGGGGCGAGUAGAGUGGCGGACGGGUGAGUAACGCGUGGGAAUCUACCCUAGAGCGGGGGACGAACCCGGGGAAACCCGGGCUAAUACCGCAUACGUCCUACGGGAGAAAGAGGGCCUCUGCUUGCACGCUCUCACUCCAGGAUGAGCCCACGUCCGAUUAGCUAGUUGGUAGGGUAAAGGCCUACCAAGGCCACGAUCGGUAGCUGGUCUGAGAGGAUGAUCAGCCACACUGGGACUGAGACACGGCCCAGACUCCUACGGGAGGCAGCAGUGGGGAAUAUUGGACAAUGGGCGCAAGCCUGAUCCAGCAAUGCCGCGUGUGUGAAGAAGGCCUGCGGGUUGUAAAGCACUUUCAGUGGGGAAGAACAGAUUCGGGUCAAUACCCCGGAGCCCUGACGUUACCCACAGAAGAAGCACCGGCUAACUCCGUGCCAGCAGCCGCGGUAAAGUGUGACUG
RNAcentral lists this ribosomal RNA (510 nucleotides) under uncultured bacterium. RNAcentral describes it as "bacterial SSU rRNA". It matches the Rfam family "Bacterial small subunit ribosomal RNA", at positions 29 to 532 of the family's 1533-position model. The record is from RNAcentral.